AUUGAACGCUGGCGGCAGGCCUAACACAUGCAAGUCGAACGUGAAAGCUCCUUCGGGAGUGAGUAGAGUGGCGAACGGGUGAGUAACGCGUAGGAAUCUACCCAGAAGUGGGGGACAACCCGGAGAAAUCCGGGCUAAUACCGCAUACGCCCUACGGGGUAAAGUGGGGGACCUUUCGGGGCCUCAUGCUUUUGGAUGAGCCUGCGUCGGAUUAGCUUGUUGGUGAGGUAACGGCUCACCAAGGCGACGAUCCGUAGCUGGUCUGAGAGGAUGACCAGCCACACUGGGACUGAGACACGGCCCAGACUCCUACGGGAGGCAGCAGUGGGGAAUAUUGGACAAUGGGGGCAACCCUGAUCCAGCCAUGCCGCGUGUGUGAAGAAGGCCUUCGGGUUGUAAAGCACUUUCAGUAGGGAAGAAAAGCUCGAGGUUAAUACCCUCGGGUCUUGACGGUACCUACAGAAGAAGCACCGGCUAAUUCCGUG
RNAcentral lists this ribosomal RNA (485 nucleotides) under uncultured bacterium. RNAcentral's name for it is "bacterial SSU rRNA". It matches the Rfam family "Bacterial small subunit ribosomal RNA", at positions 30 to 507 of the family's 1533-position model. The record is from RNAcentral.